Capsicum annuum is the source of this 106-nucleotide non-coding RNA. The record is from Rfam. NCBI's taxonomy places the organism in Eukaryota, Viridiplantae, Streptophyta, Magnoliopsida, Solanales, Solanaceae.
ACCUCAUGAUUGGGAUAUUAUAUGAGUUUUCCGUUGAACCUAUCCCAUACUUUGUAUAAGGGUUCUCCAUUUAAUUGCCUAAAGUUUGUGAUCUCAUUAUGCAAUU